CCUCUGCAAACUCGUAAAGAGGAUGUAUAGGGGCUGACGCCUGCCCAGUGCCGGAAGGUUAAGGGGAGGGGUGAGGCCGUAAGGCGUAGCUCCGACCCGAAGCCCCGGUAAACGGCGGCCGUAACUAUAACGGUCCUAAGGUAGCUGUGCUGCCUGCCUGCAGGGUAACCUGCAGGGCAAUACCCGGCUGUAUGCGGGAAAACCCUUAGAGCUCUUCCUACUUGGGGAGGUUUUCUCCAAGUAAAAAUGGAAGAGAUUGGGCAAUCCGCAGGAAACCCCGAAAGGGGGAUCCUCAGAGACUGUACGCCGGGCAUCCAGCUUCCCAGCGAGGUGCGGUGUGAUGGAGCUUCAUCCAAAGUGGGUCGUUGGGUUCGUGGAUGGAGAAGGAUGUUUCUAUGUGGGUGUGAACAAGAACGAGGCGAUGAGCUUGGGUUAUCAGGUGUUGCCUGAGUUCAGAGUCGUUCAACACCGGCGAGACAUCCAAGUCCUUUACGCGCUCAAGCGCUUCUUCGGAUGCGGUACGGUCAGAAGAAACCACGAAGACAGAUACGAGCUCAGGAUAAGGAAAUUUGAGUGUCUGAAAAAGGUCGUUGAAUUCUUUCAAAAUCAUCCACUCAAGACGAAGAAGAACGUCGAUUUCAAGAAAUUCAGCAAGAUCAUCAAGAUGAUGGAUGAAGGAAAGCACCUCACGAGGGAAGGGCUGAUCGAGAUCGUGCAGAUAGCUCUCGAAAUGAACACGGGAAAACAUGAGCAGCUGAAGCAGAUCUUGUGCGAAUUGACUGGGAAGGCUGGAUGAAGAUACAGUCCACCCUUGGUUCGAAAGACCAAGAUGAUGGUGAGCGAAAUACCUUGUCGGGUAAGUUCCGACCUGCAUGAAUGGCGUAACGACUGGGGCGCUGUCUCGGCGAGGGACCCGGUGAAAUUUCAGUGAGGGUGAAGAUGCCCUCAACCUGCGGCUAGACGGAAAGACCCCGUGGAGCUUCACUGCAGCCUGGUAUUGGAUUCUGGCACACCGUGUACAGGAUAGGUGGGAGGCUGUGAACCCGGCUCGCCAGGGUCGGGGGAGCCACCGGUGGGAUACCACCCUCGGUGUGUCGGAAUUCUAACCUGAACCUGUGAAGAGCAGGUUGGGGACAGUGCCAGGUGGGCAGUUUGACUGGGGCGGUCGCCUCCUAAAAAGUAACGGAGGCGCGCGAAGGUCGGCUCAGGUGGGUUGGAAAUCCACCGUUGAGUGCAAGGGCAUAAGCCGGCCUGACUGUGAGGCCGACGGGCCGAGCAGAGGGGAAACCCGGCCCUAGUGACCCGACGACUCCGGGUGGAAGGGUCGUCGACAACGGACAAAAGUUACCCCGGGGAUAACAGGCUAGUCUCGCCCGAGAGUUCACAUCGACGGCGAGGAUCGGCACCUCGAUGUCGGCUCAUCCCAUCCUGGGGCUGAAGCAGGUCCCAAGGGUUAGGCUGUCCGCCUAUUAAAGGGGUACGUGAGCUGGGUUCAGACCGUCGCAAGACAGGUCGGUCCCUAUCGGCCGCAGGCGCAGGAGGUUUGAGGGGGGUCACCCCUUGUACGAGAGGACCGGGGUGAGCGGGCCUCUGGUGUACCGGCUGUCCUGCCAAGGGCAUUCGCCGGGUAGCUAUGCCCGUAAGCGAUAACCGCUGAAGGCAUCUAAGCGGGAAGCGCGCCCUAAGAUUAGACCUCCCAUCCCGUUAAGGGAGUAAGGCCGGUCCGAGAACAGGACCUUGAUAGGCCGGUGGUGUAAGCGCCGCAAGGCGUUGAGCCAACCGGUACUAAUCGGCCGAGGCCUUGACC
Molecule: ribosomal RNA, 1807 nt
Filed under: Thermotoga sp. 50_1627
Lineage: Bacteria; Thermotogati; Thermotogota; Thermotogae; Thermotogales; Thermotogaceae
Also listed under: 1 other name
Description: bacterial LSU rRNA
Rfam family: Bacterial large subunit ribosomal RNA
Source: RNAcentral